Molecule: ribosomal RNA, 253 nt
Filed under: uncultured bacterium
Lineage: Bacteria
Description: partial 16S ribosomal RNA
Rfam family: Archaeal small subunit ribosomal RNA
Source: RNAcentral
UACCAGCACCCCGAGUGGUCGGGACGAUUAUUGGGCCUAAAGCAUCCGUAGCCGGUUCUACAAGUCUUCCGUUAAAUCCACCUGCUUAACAGAUGGGCUGCGGAGGAUACUAUAGAGCUAGGAGGCGGGAGAGGCAAGCGGUACUUAGUGGGUAAGGGUAAAAUCCGUUGAUCCAUUGAAGACCACCAGUGGCGAAGGCGGCUUGCCAGAACGCACUCGACGGUGAGGGAUGAAAGCUGGGGGAGCAAACCGG